AGAGUUUGAUCCUGGCUCAGAAUGAACGCUGGCGGCAGGCCUAACACAUGCAAGUCGAACGGAUCCUUCGGGAUUAGUGGCGGACGGGUGAGUAACGCGUGGGAACAUACCCUUUGGUACGGAAUAGCCUCGGGAAACUGGGAGUAAUACCGUAUGUGCUCUUCGGAGGAAAGAUUUAUCGCCAAAGGAUUGGCCCGCGUUGGAUUAGGUAGUUGGUGGGGUAAUGGCCUACCAAGCCGACGAUCCAUAGCUGGUUUGAGAGGAUGAUCAGCCACACUGGGACUGAGACACGGCCCAGACUCCUACGGGAGGCAGCAGUGGGGAAUCUUAGACAAUGGGGGAAACCCUGAUCUAGCCAUGCCGCGUGAUCGAUGAAGGCCUUAGGGUUGUAAAGAUCUUUCAGUGGGGAAGAUAAUGACGGUACCCACAGAAGAAGCCCCGGCUAACUCCGUG
This 453-nucleotide ribosomal RNA is filed under the name uncultured bacterium. RNAcentral describes it as "bacterial SSU rRNA". It matches the Rfam family "Bacterial small subunit ribosomal RNA", at positions 8 to 507 of the family's 1533-position model. The record is from RNAcentral.